GGGUUGUGAGGUUAAGCGACUAAGCGUACACGGUGGAUGCCCUGGCAGUCAGAGGCGAUGAAGGACGUGCUAAUCUGCGAUAAGCGUCGGUAAGGUGAUAUGAACCGUUAUAACCGGCGAUUUCCGAAUGGGGAAACCCAGUGUGAUUCGUCACACUAUCAUUAACUGAAUCCAUAGGUUAAUGAGGCGAACCGGGGGAACUGAAACAUCUAAGUACCCCGAGGAAAAGAAAUCAACCGAGAUUCCCCCAGUAGCGGCGAGCGAACGGGGAGCAGCCCAGAGCCUGAAUCAGUGUGUGUGUUAGUGGAAGCGUCUGGAAAGGCGCGCGAUACAGGGUGACAGCCCCGUACACAAAAAUGCACAUGCUGUGAGCUCGAUGAGUAGGGCGGGACACGUGGUAUCCUGUCUGAAUAUGGGGGGACCAUCCUCCAAGGCUAAAUACUCCUGACUGACCGAUAGUGAACCAGUACCGUGAGGGAAAGGCGAAAAGAACCCCGGCGAGGGGAGUGAAAAAGAACCUGAAACCGUGUACGUACAAGCAGUGGGAGCACGCUUAGGCGUGUGACUGCGUACCUUUUGUAUAAUGGGUCAGCGACUUAUAUUCUGUAGCAAGGUUAACCGAAUAGGGGAGCCGAAGGGAAACCGAGUCUUAACUGGGCGUUAAGUUGCAGGGUAUAGACCCGAAACCCGGUGAUCUAGCCAUGGGCAGGUUGAAGGUUGGGUAACACUAACUGGAGGACCGAACCGACUAAUGUUGAAAAAUUAGCGGAUGACUUGUGGCUGGGGGUGAAAGGCCAAUCAAACCGGGAGAUAGCUGGUUCUCCCCGAAAGCUAUUUAGGUAGCGCCUCGUGAAUUCAUCUCCGGGGGUAGAGCACUGUUUCGGCAAGGGGGUCAUCCCGACUUACCAACCCGAUGCAAACUGCGAAUACCGGAGAAUGUUAUCACGGGAGACACACGGCGGGUGCUAACGUCCGUCGUGAAGAGGGAAACAACCCAGACCGCCAGCUAAGGUCCCAAAGUCAUGGUUAAGUGGGAAACGAUGUGGGAAGGCCCAGACAGCCAGGAUGUUGGCUUAGAAGCAGCCAUCAUUUAAAGAAAGCGUAAUAGCUCACUGGUCGAGUCGGCCUGCGCGGAAGAUGUAACGGGGCUAAACCAUGCACCGAAGCUGCGGCAGCGACGCUUAUGCGUUGUUGGGUAGGGGAGCGUUCUGUAAGCCUGUGAAGGUGUACUGUGAGG
RNAcentral lists this ribosomal RNA (1237 nucleotides) under Escherichia coli. RNAcentral's name for it is "partial 23S ribosomal RNA". It matches the Rfam family "Bacterial large subunit ribosomal RNA", at positions 1 to 1268 of the family's 2925-position model. Lineage: Bacteria; Pseudomonadati; Pseudomonadota; Gammaproteobacteria; Enterobacterales; Enterobacteriaceae. The record is from RNAcentral.